Molecule: ribosomal RNA, 246 nt
Filed under: uncultured bacterium
Lineage: Bacteria
Description: partial 16S ribosomal RNA
Rfam family: Bacterial small subunit ribosomal RNA
Source: RNAcentral
GAUCAUGGCUCAGGAUGAACGCUAGCGGCAGGCCUAACACAUGCAAGUCGAGGGGCAUCACGAGGUAGCAAUACUUUGGUGGCGACCGGCGCACGGGUGCGUAACGCGUAUGUAACCUACCUAUAACAGGGGCAUAACACUGAGAAAUUGGUACUAAUUCCCCAUAAUAUUCGGAGAGGCAUCUCUCCGGGUUGAAAACUCCGGUGGUUAUAAAUGGACAUGCGUUGUAUUAGCUAGUUGGUGAGG